Molecule: long non-coding RNA, 381 nt
Organism: Anolis carolinensis (green anole)
Lineage: Eukaryota; Metazoa; Chordata; Lepidosauria; Squamata; Anolidae
Exons: 3
Source: RefSeq, a predicted model, not a curated record
CUCACAACAAGUCGGAUGGUUCUUCAUCGAAGGCGUAUCCUUCAGAUAAAGAUAAAGGUUUCCCUUUGACAUCAAGUCCAGUUGUGUCCGAUUCUAGGAUGUGGUGCUCAUCUCCAUUUCUAAGCUGAAGAGCCAGCGUUAUCCGUAGACACCUCCAAGGUCAUGUGGCCAGCAUGACUGCAUGGAGCACCAUGUUCCCGCCGAAGUGAUCGCCUUGAAUCAUUCACUCUCAGCACUGCUGACCUUACAAGCCUAUAGUAGGAAUGAGAUGGAAUAAAACCAUGAAUGCCACGCUGAGUUCAUCUUAGAAAAAGUUGCUUGAAUGACAGCCAAGAGUCAAAAAUGAAUCCUUUGAAUAAUAAAUUUCAAUUUUUAAAUCAA